This 313-nucleotide signal recognition particle RNA is filed under the name Saimiri boliviensis boliviensis (Bolivian squirrel monkey). RNAcentral describes it as "Metazoan signal recognition particle RNA (ENSSBOG00000006595.1)". It matches the Rfam family "Metazoan signal recognition particle RNA". From Rfam's summary of the family: The signal recognition particle (SRP) is a universally conserved ribonucleoprotein. The record is from RNAcentral. Lineage: Eukaryota; Metazoa; Chordata; Mammalia; Primates; Cebidae.
GCCAGACUCAGUGGUGUACACCUGUAGUUCCAGCUACUCAGUGGCUGAGACAGGAGGAUUGCUUGAGCCCAGGAGUUCUGGGCUGUGGUGCACUAUGCUGAUCUAUUGAUCAAUCCACUGUUGUCUGCACUAAGUUCAGCAUGAAUACAGUGACCUCUUGGGAAGGCAGGGCCAUCAGGUGGCUUAAGAGGGGAUAAACUGGCCUGGGUUGGAAAUGGAGAAGGUCAAAACUGCUGUGCUAUCCGGUAGUGGGAUCACACCUGUGAAUAGCCACUACAUUCCAGCCUAGGCAAUAUCAGGAAACCCUGUCUCU